CCCUUAGAUGUUCUGGGCCGCACGCGCGCUACACUGAUGAAUUCAACGAGCACUAACCUGUGCCGAAAGGUUCGGGUAAUCUUGUGAAAUUUCAUCGUGAUGGGGAUUGAUUAUUGCAAUUUUUAAUCAUAACCGAGGAAUGCCUAGUAAGCGUGAGUCAUCAGCUCACGUUGAUUACGUCCCUGCCCUUUGUACACACCGCCCGUCGCUCCUACCGAUUGAAUGUGCCAGUGAAAAGUUCGGAUUGGAGAUAGGAGACGGCAACGUAUCCUAUUUCCGAGAAAAUCUUUAAACUUUCCCAUUUAGAGGAAGGAGAAGUCGUAACA
This 326-nucleotide ribosomal RNA is filed under the name uncultured eukaryote. RNAcentral describes it as "partial 18S ribosomal RNA". It matches the Rfam family "Eukaryotic small subunit ribosomal RNA", at positions 1470 to 1796 of the family's 1831-position model. The record is from RNAcentral.